Molecule: ribosomal RNA, 493 nt
Filed under: uncultured bacterium
Lineage: Bacteria
Description: partial 16S ribosomal RNA
Rfam family: Bacterial small subunit ribosomal RNA
Source: RNAcentral
GACGAACGCUGGCGGCGUGCUUAACACAUGCAAGUCGAACGGUGAAGGGACCGGUUUUUGCUGGUUCUGGAUGAGUGGCGAACGGGUGAGUAACACGUGAGUAACCUGCCCCCUUCUUCUGGAUAACCGCAUGAAAGUGUGGCUAAUACGGGAUAUUCUGCGCCUGCUGCAUGGUGGGUGUGGGAAAGAUAUUGUUUCGGUGGGGGAUGGGCUCGCGGCCUAUCAGCUUGUUGGUGGGGUGAUGGCCUACCAAGGCGGUGACGGGUAGCCGGCCUGAGAGGGUGGACGGUCACACUGGGACUGAGACACGGCCCAGACUCCUACGGGAGGCAGCAGUGGGGAAUAUUGCACAAUGGGCGCAAGCCUGAUGCAGCGACGCCGCGUGAGGGAUAGAGGCCUUCGGGUUGUAAACCUCUUUCGCCAGUGAAGCAGGCCUGUCCCUUUUGUGGGUGGGUUGACGGUAGCUGGAUAAGAAGCGCCGGCUAACUACGUG